GACGAACGCUGGCGGCGUGCCUAAUACAUGCAAGUCGAACGCACAGUUUAUACCGUAGCUUGCUACACCAUAGACUGUGAGGUGCGAACGGGUGAGUAACGCGUAGGUAACCUGCCUGGUAGCGGGGGAUAACUAUUGGAAACGAUAGCUAAUACCGCAUAAUAUUAAUUAUUGCAUGAUAAUUAAUUGAAAGGUGCAAUUGCACCACUACCAGAUGGACCUGCGUUGUAUUAGCUAGUAGGUGAGGUAACGGCCCACCUAGGCGAGGAUACAUAGCCGACCUGCGAGGGUGCGCGGCCACGCUGGGACUGGGACACGGCCCAGACUCCUACGGGAGGCAGCCGUAGGGGAUCUUCGGCGAUGGACGAAAGUCUGACCGAGCAACGCCGCGUGAGUGAAGAAGGUUUUCGGGUCGUAAAGAUCUGUUGUGAGAGAAGAACGGGUGUGAGAGUGGAAAGUUCACACUGUGACGGUAUCUUAACAGAAAGGGACGGCUAACUACGUG
RNAcentral lists this ribosomal RNA (505 nucleotides) under uncultured bacterium. RNAcentral describes it as "partial 16S ribosomal RNA". It matches the Rfam family "Bacterial small subunit ribosomal RNA", at positions 28 to 507 of the family's 1533-position model. The record is from RNAcentral.